AUGCCCCCUUUCACUUUGUCAACUGGACUUAUGUCUUCAUUUGCCAUUCAAGUGGAGCAAAGGAAAUAACCUUUUAAAACUCAGGCAAGCUUCCUGUUCAUCUUGUAACCUGUCAGGCGAAACAUUG
This is a small nucleolar RNA of Nannospalax galili (Upper Galilee mountains blind mole rat), 127 nucleotides long. Lineage: Eukaryota; Metazoa; Chordata; Mammalia; Rodentia; Spalacidae. The record is from Ensembl.